This 238-nucleotide long non-coding RNA is filed under the name Bos taurus (domestic cattle). Its description in RNAcentral is "long non-coding RNA NONBTAT023417". The record is from RNAcentral. Lineage: Eukaryota; Metazoa; Chordata; Mammalia; Artiodactyla; Bovidae.
GGUACCAAUGAUGUCCUUAGAUCUGUACUCUGUUGUCUCCCCAACUGUGUUAGUGUUCUUAUAUAUACAGUUUUAUAAUGUUAAAUGUAAGUAGAUUACAAAUGAACAUAUCUGUGCCAACUGUCUGUUUGGGAUAAAGUGUUUUUGAUUCAGUGUUACUGUGAUUUAGAGCUACAAAUUAGUUGUAUCCCUUUGAAAUUUGAUCCUGUCAUCCUUCUGAAAUAAAGGUGUCACAACU